CUGAAUGCCCUAUUAGUAGGCCCA
This 24-nucleotide non-coding RNA is filed under the name Arabidopsis thaliana (thale cress). The record is from RNAcentral. Lineage: Eukaryota; Viridiplantae; Streptophyta; Magnoliopsida; Brassicales; Brassicaceae.